Molecule: ribosomal RNA, 253 nt
Filed under: uncultured bacterium
Lineage: Bacteria
Description: partial 16S ribosomal RNA
Rfam family: Bacterial small subunit ribosomal RNA
Source: RNAcentral
UACGGAGGGUGCGAGCGUUAUUCGGAAUUACUGGGUUUAAAGGGUGCGUAGGCGGCUUGGUAAGUCAGGAGUGAAAGUUUGCGGCUCAACCGUAAAAUUGCUUUUGAUCCUGCCAGGCUGGAAUCAGGAUGAGGUCAGCGGAAUGUGGCAUGUAGCGGUGAAAUGCAUAGAUAUGCCAUAGAACACCAAUUGCGAAGGCAGCUGGCUAGACCUGUAUUGACGCUGAGGCACGAAAGCGUGGGGAGCGAACAGG